AAGUGGUAACAGUGACAUAAUGUUAGAAUGUUGUUAUUUUUAGGGUAGUGGAGAGCUUUUUAUGAGGAUGUUAAAAGUCUCGCUGACUCAAAUGAAUAAUAUUGGAGAUUAUAUAUGUAGAAAUGAUUUUUCAUACACAUUGCAUUUUGGGGCCUUUAACGGAGUUGUGGCUCAGAGAGUCGUCUCUUGAGGGUCAUAAACUUUUGGUUAACGUUAUGAUUAGCCAAUCUACUGUGAGAAUGACCUGAGUUUUGAAGGAUUGCACACGCUUACAGACAUACAGAGUUCAUCAACACACAGGACAGUAUUGAUUUGAGGCCUAGGGCCUGAAAUUCCUUUAGCUUUUAACUGAAUUUGAGUUGGCCCAAUAACAAAUGACAGAAAGAGGAACUGAAUAGGAGUUUUGCUUGUAACUAAACUGAGUGACAUAUAAAAUAUUGAGAUAACAGAUGCAGCUCUAACUUAGUCCUCUUAUAUAAAAAGCAGUUACAGAAUACAGAAAUACAGAAAACAGAAGCAAAGGGAGAAAGCUUAUAUAUGUUGGUUAAGUCUGAUAAAGUUUAAGUUAGAGGGAGGCAUUACAUUAAAAGCAGCAAAAUGAAAUAAAAUGAUAUAUUCAAACAGGAUGUUGAUGAUCAGAUAAGGAAAAACAGGAAACGUAUGACAGCAGUGCUGUAAGACUGUUAGAAAGCUGUAGAUUGAGAUGAGUGAUGUUUAAGAUUAUAUAGGAAUAAAAGUCAAAACCAAAUACAAAAUUAGGUUCAUGUUUUGAGUAACAUUAGGUUUGAAUAAAGAAGACAAUUGAGGGACAUAAGGCAGGGAAGCCGUACUAGGGAGGAAGGGUUCUGUUUCCUUUGCAGGUGGCCAGAUUUCCACUAGAGUGGGACCCAGAAAAGGGACAGACCACUAGAGAUUCACAAGUGUAAGGGUCUUUCACCGGGUAUGAGUGGGUUCUGGGGUGAGGGAGGAGUGCUGAUUGAGCUCUGCUCGCACUCUUAUUCUCUCAUGCCCUGAUCAACUUUAGGCUCGCUGAUACUUUGGUGUGAUUAACCUUAAGCAUGAGUGUUCUCAAGUGGGAGCUGGCAUUUUAUUAUUAAGACCACCUAGAUGACAUGAGGUUGUCUGAUUUGUUAAGUCACAGGAUGCCAAGAGAGGGUCAGAGCUAAGAACAGUGAUCCUAAAUGUCCAUGAUGUCUGGGAUGGACAGGGGAGCAGUUGAAUGGGCCAAGGAGUGACCCAACACACAGUAUGGUGACCUCUUGUGGUCAAGAGGUCAAGAGAGGGAGUGUCAGGAAUAGAAAUAUUGUCCUGCUAUUAGUUGCUGCUAUUUUAUAAUCAUCAUUAACAUUUCAUGUUAAUAGGGAUGUUGCAUUCAGAUGCACUCAGAUGUUCAAAAUAUAUUGGUAUUAUAUUAGUCUUUAUUACAGGUUCAGUUAUAAUCAGUUGAAUCUAUAAUUUAAAGGUUUCUGAAUGUUUUAUAUUCUUACACAUAGUCUUCAGUGGGGAGAAGCUGAUUGCAGGCUGACAGGAAACGGUGUGCUUUUGCAAAAGUGAAACCAAAACCAGAGUUUUGAUGAUGCUAUUAUCAUCUUUUAUGCAUUUAUACGUCUGAUUAAGCUUUGAUUAAGUUUUAAGUAGUUGUAGUAGAUUGAAAUAUUUGUUUUAUACAUUUUACAUAGAAGUUAAGAUCAUCACAACACAGGAUGG
This is a long non-coding RNA of Oreochromis aureus, 1707 nucleotides long. Lineage: Eukaryota; Metazoa; Chordata; Actinopteri; Cichliformes; Cichlidae. The record is from Ensembl.